RNAcentral lists this non-coding RNA (151 nucleotides) under Porphyromonas pasteri. Lineage: Bacteria; Pseudomonadati; Bacteroidota; Bacteroidia; Bacteroidales; Porphyromonadaceae. The record is from RNAcentral.
GCUGCGAGGGCAGAUUAAAAGGGAAGCUGGUGCAAAACCAGCGCUAUCCCCGUAGCCGUGAGGUCAUCAUGGUGCUACUAUGAGCCACUGCCCUAUACUGGGGUGGGAAGGCGUAGCACUUCGGACUGAGCCGGAAGACCUGCCCCCAGCC